This is an unclassified non-coding RNA of Erinaceus europaeus (western European hedgehog), 297 nucleotides long. Its record names the gene 7SK. It matches the Rfam family "7SK RNA". From Rfam's summary of the family: 7SK was discovered as an abundant small nuclear RNA in the mid-70s but a possible function has only recently been suggested. NCBI's taxonomy places the organism in Eukaryota, Metazoa, Chordata, Mammalia, Eulipotyphla, Erinaceidae. The record is from Ensembl.
GCAUGUGAGAGCAAUCUGGCUGCGACAUCUGUCACCCUAGGGUUGAUUCAGCUGAUCUGCCUGGCUAGGCGGGUGUCCUUUCCUCCCUCACCAUUCCAUGUGUGAAGAGGACGGCCUUCUCCAUAUAAAGCUGGACCGGCCUCCGGGCUGUACAAGUAGCUGUGCUCCCCUGCUAGAACCUCCAAACAAGCUCUCAAGAAUAUCACUCCUAUCCCUGGGGCUCCAUGACUGUCAGAGCAGAGGGCCUUUCCACCCAAAUAUCCUGGUGGGAAGAAAAAGAUGCUUCCCCUUCCCCUA